AAGCCAGCCAAUUGAUCUGCUUAUCUGAAUGUGUUUCUGCAGGAAUUUAGACACAGCUGGCAAUAGUGAUGACAUCUUAUAAGCCUUAAGGACAACAGAUCAUUACGGUCCCUGAAAACAGCUACAAUA
Molecule: small nucleolar RNA, 129 nt
Organism: Jaculus jaculus (lesser Egyptian jerboa)
Lineage: Eukaryota; Metazoa; Chordata; Mammalia; Rodentia; Dipodidae
Product: small nucleolar RNA SNORA33
Exons: 1
Source: RefSeq, a predicted model, not a curated record